CCCUUAGACGUUCUGGGCCGCACGCGCGCUACACUGACCAGUGCAACAAGCAUCCGUCCUUGGCCGACAGGCUCGGGCAAUCUUUGAACGCUGGUCGUGAUGGGGAUAGACUUUUGCAAUUUUUGGUCUUCAACGAGGAAUGCCUAGUAAGCGCAAGUCAUCAGCUUGCGUUGAUUACGUCCCUGCCCUUUGUACACACCGCCCGUCGCUCCUACCGAUUGAAUGGUCCGGUGAAGCGCUCGGACCGCGGCCUCUUGACGGUUUUCCGUCGAUUGGCUGUGGGAAGUUCGUUAAACCUUAUCAUUUAGAGGAAGGAGAANUCGUANCA
RNAcentral lists this ribosomal RNA (328 nucleotides) under uncultured eukaryote. RNAcentral describes it as "partial 18S ribosomal RNA". It matches the Rfam family "Eukaryotic small subunit ribosomal RNA", at positions 1470 to 1796 of the family's 1831-position model. The record is from RNAcentral.